This 605-nucleotide unclassified non-coding RNA is filed under the name Hevea brasiliensis (rubber tree). Lineage: Eukaryota; Viridiplantae; Streptophyta; Magnoliopsida; Malpighiales; Euphorbiaceae. The record is from RNAcentral.
GUAAGCAAUCAGGGAAGGAUAUUGAUGAAGCAUCCAAAGAUGGUUCGUCCUGUUAAUUUCUCUCUGACCUUCAUGGUGAAUGAUAUCAGUAGCACAAUUUUGCUGUCAGUAACCAGUUUGGCUAAAUUCCUGACAUUAUCUCUUAAAAAUUAUAUAGUUGCCAUGCCCCUAAAAAUAAAAAAUAAAAACCGCAAAGAAAUAAUUAAUAAAAGGAGAUAAAGGCAAAGUGGCCCAUUAAUGUUUUCAUUCAGAAGAAAAGAAAACCAGAUAUUGGCAUUUGAUUAUAUUUUGAUGCCUUUCUUCUUAGAAAAGCCUAUUUAUGUUAACUCUAUGUAAUUAGAAACCUAAAUCUAAACUGAAUGUUUAUAUUGUCCCUGUUUGUGCGAACUAUCUUCCCCACUUCCUGAAGGGUUGUCUGGAGCAUACCUUUUCAAAAGCCCUGGUGGCAGUAAUUCUUCACCAAUUAUUACUUCUUCCUAUAUGAAUGAGUAAGAUGAUUUUUCUUCUUCACUCAAAAAGUCACCCGUGUGUAGUUGAAUUACUGAAUUAUGUAAAUAUUAUUUUUUAGGGGUUAUGAAGUGAAGGAGGCAUUAAGAGUGCAAAUG